CGACCGCUGGCGGCGUGCUUACCACAUGCACGUCGAACGGAAAGGCCCUGCUUGCAGGGUACUCGAGUGGCGAACGGGUGCGUAACACGUGGGUGAUCUGCCCUGCACUUCGGGAUAAGCCUGGGAAACUGGGUCUAAUACCGGAUAGGAGCCAUUUUUAGUGUGAUGGUUGGAAAGUUUUUUCGGUGUAGGAUGAGCUCGCGGCCUAUCAGCUUGUUGGUGGGGUAAUGGCCUACCAAGGCGGCGACGGGUAGCCGGCCUGAGAGGGUGGACGGCCACAUUGGGACUGAGAUACGGCCCAGACUCCUACGGGAGGCAGCAGUGGGGAAUAUUGCACAAUGGGCGCAAGCCUGAUGCAGCGACGCCGCGUGGGGGAUGACGGCCUUCGGGUUGUAAACUCCUUUCGCUAGGGACGAAGCUUUUUGUGACGGUACCUAGAUAAGAAGCACCGGCUAACUACGUG
RNAcentral lists this ribosomal RNA (463 nucleotides) under uncultured bacterium. Its description in RNAcentral is "partial 16S ribosomal RNA". It matches the Rfam family "Bacterial small subunit ribosomal RNA", at positions 30 to 507 of the family's 1533-position model. The record is from RNAcentral.